GACGAACGCUGGCGGCGGGCUUAACACAUGCAAGUCGAACGGAAAGGCCCUGCUUUUGUGGGCUGCUCGGUUAGCGAACGGGUGAUUAACACGUGUUUGACCUACCCUUGACUUAGUGAUACCUUCACGAAACUGGGGCUAAUACCGGAUAAGUUCUCCUGCUGCAUUGUGGGGGCUGGAAAUUUUCGGCGGUUGGGGAUGGCGUCGCGGCUUAUCAGCUUGUUGGUGGGGUAGUGGAUUACCAAGGAUUUGACGGGUAGCCGGCCUGAGAGGGUGACCGGCCACAUUGGGACUGAGAUACGGCCCAGACUCCUACGGGAGGCAGCAGUGGGGAAUAUUGCACAAUGGGCGGAAGCCUGAUGCAGAAACGCCGCGUGCGGGAUGACGGCCUUCGGGUUGUAAACCGCUUUCGCCUGUGACGAAGCGUGAGUGACGGUAAUGGGUAAAGAAGCACCGGCUAACUACGUG
Molecule: ribosomal RNA, 468 nt
Filed under: uncultured bacterium
Lineage: Bacteria
Description: partial 16S ribosomal RNA
Rfam family: Bacterial small subunit ribosomal RNA
Source: RNAcentral